Molecule: ribosomal RNA, 256 nt
Filed under: uncultured bacterium
Lineage: Bacteria
Description: partial 16S ribosomal RNA
Rfam family: Archaeal small subunit ribosomal RNA
Source: RNAcentral
UACCAGCACCCCGAGUGGUCGGGACGUUUUAUUGGGCCUAAAGCAUCCGUAGCCGGUUCUACAAGUCUUCCGUUAAAUCCAACUGCUUAACAGGUGGGCUGCGGAAGAUACUAUAGAGCUAGGAGGCGGGAGAGGCAAGCGGUACUCGAUGGGUAGGGGUAAAAUCCGUUGAUCCAUUGAAGACCACCAGUGGCGAAGGCGGCUUGCCAGAACGCGCUCGACGGUGAGGGAUGAAAGCUGGGGGGAGCAAACGGGG